GACGAACGCUGGCGGCGUGCUUAACACAUGCAAGUCGAACGGAAAGGCCCCUUUGGGGGUACUCGAGUGGCGAACGGGGGAGUAACACGUGAGUAACCUGCCCUUGACUUCGGGAUAACUUCAGGAAACUGGGGCUAAUACCGGAUAGGAAUCCUUGCUGCAUGGUGGGGGUUGGAAAGCUUCGGCGGUUUUGGAUGGACUUGCGGCUUAUCAGCUUGUUGGUGGGGUAGUGGCUUACCAAGGCUUUGACGGGUAGCCGGCCUGAGAGGGCGACCGGCCACAUUGGGACUGAGAUUCGGCCCAGACUCCUACGGGAGGCAGCAGUGGGGAAUAUUGCACAAUGGGCGGAAGCCUGAUGCAGCAACGCCGCGUGCGGGAUGACGGCCUUCGGGUUGUAAACCGCUUUCAGCAGGGGCGAAGCUUGUGGUGACGGUACCUGCAGAAGAAGCACCGGCUAACUACGUG
This 465-nucleotide ribosomal RNA is filed under the name uncultured bacterium. RNAcentral's name for it is "partial 16S ribosomal RNA". It matches the Rfam family "Bacterial small subunit ribosomal RNA", at positions 28 to 507 of the family's 1533-position model. The record is from RNAcentral.